GAUGAAGAACGUAGCGAAAUGCGAUACGUAGUGUGAAUUGCAGAAUUCAGUGAAUCAUCGAAUCUUUGAACGCACAUUGCACCUCUCGGUAUUCCGGGAGGUAUGCCUGUUCGAGCGUCAUUUGUACCCUCAAGCUCUGCUUGGUGUUGGGUGUUUGUUCCGCCUCUGUGUGUGAACUCGCCUCAAAACAAUUGGCAGCCGGCGUAUUGAUUUCGGAGCGCAGUACAUCUCGCGCUUUGCACUCACAACGACGACGUCCAAAAGUACAUUUUUACACUCUUGACCUCGGAUCAGGUAGGGAUACCCGCUGAACUUAAGCAUAUCAAUAAGCGGAGGA
RNAcentral lists this unclassified non-coding RNA (337 nucleotides) under soil metagenome. RNAcentral describes it as "partial contains 5.8S ribosomal RNA, internal transcribed spacer 2, and large subunit ribosomal RNA". The stretch from base 1 to 120 matches the Rfam family "5.8S ribosomal RNA", at positions 35 to 154 of the family's 154-position model. The record is from RNAcentral.